GUACCUGUUUCCAUGGAACAUACUACUAAAAUUAGAAUGACAACAGAAGACUAACAUGACCCCUGUGUAAGGUUGAUAGACACAUUCAAGAAGUACUCCAUAUUUUU
Small nuclear RNA from Pteropus vampyrus (large flying fox), 107 nucleotides. Lineage: Eukaryota; Metazoa; Chordata; Mammalia; Chiroptera; Pteropodidae. The record is from Ensembl.